GGGCACCUGGNAUAGGGGGCUCGNNGAUUGGGNUCCCUUGCCCGUAGCGAAAAAGGCGUGAAGUGCCCCCGCCUGGGGGGAGUAUGNUCGCAAGGGCUUGAAACUCAAAGGAANUGACGGGGGCUCACACAAGCGGUGGAGCAUGUGGCUUAAUUCCGAGGCUACGCGAAGAACCUUAUCCUGGGCUUGACAUGCACGGAUUAGCCGGCGGANACGCCGGCGAGGCCGCGAGGUACAACGUGCACAGGUGCUGCAUGGCUGUCGUCAGCUCGUGCCGUGAGGUGUUGGGUUAAGUCCCGUAACGAGCGAAACCCCUGUGGCCAGUCGCCAGCGCGUCAUGGCGGGGACUCUGGCCAGACCGCCGGCGUCAAGCCGGAGGAAGGCGGGGACGACGUCAAGUCAUCAUGGCCCUNAUGCCCAGGGCUGCACACGUGCUACAAUGGGGCGGACAGAGCGUCGCCAGGCCGCAAGGCCGAGCCAAUNGCAAAAAUCGCCCCUCAGUUCGGAUUGCGGGCUGCAANCCGCCCGCAUGAAGCNNNAAUCGCUAGUAANCGGCCGGAUNAGGCACCUGGNCGCCGGGUGAAUGUGUNCCCUGGAGGCCCCUUGGUUAC
This 611-nucleotide ribosomal RNA is filed under the name uncultured Planctomycetota bacterium. RNAcentral's name for it is "uncultured planctomycete partial 16S ribosomal RNA". It matches the Rfam family "Bacterial small subunit ribosomal RNA", at positions 801 to 1369 of the family's 1533-position model. The record is from RNAcentral. Lineage: Bacteria; Pseudomonadati; Planctomycetota.